RNAcentral lists this ribosomal RNA (424 nucleotides) under uncultured bacterium. RNAcentral describes it as "bacterial SSU rRNA". It matches the Rfam family "Bacterial small subunit ribosomal RNA", at positions 355 to 776 of the family's 1533-position model. The record is from RNAcentral.
UAAGGAAUAUUGGUCAAUGGACGAAAGUCUGAACCAGCCAUGCCGCGUGGAGGAUGAAGGCCCUCUGGGUUGUAAACUUCUUUUCUCUGUAAAGAAAUGCACGGUUUCUACUGUGUUUGACGGUAACAGAGGAAUAAGCACCGGCUAACUCCGUGCCAGCAGCCGCGGUAAUACGGAGGGUGCAAGCGUUAUCCGGAUUCACUGGGUUUAAAGGGAGCGUAGGUGGGCAGAUAAGUCAGCGGUGAAAUACCUGAGCUUAACUCAGGAACUGCCAUUGAUACUGUUUGUCUUGAAUAUCGUAGAGGUAAGCGGAAUAUGUCAUGUAGCGGUGAAAUGCUUAGAUAUGACAUAGAACACCAAUUGCGAAGGCAGCUUGCUAUGCGAAUAUUGACACUGAGGCUCGAAAGCGUGGGGAUCAAACAGG